UACGUAGGAUGCAAGCGUUGUCCGGAAUUAUUGGGCGUAAAGAGCGAGCAGGCGGUUUGGAAAGUUGGACGUGAAAUUUUAGGGCUUAACCCUAAAGGGUCGUCCAAAACUCCCAGACUAGAGUGCAGGAGAGGAAAGCGGAAUUCCCGGUGUAGUGGUGAAAUGCGUAGAUAUCGGGAGGAACACCAGAGGCGAAGGCGGCUUUCUGGCCUGUAACUGACGCUGAGGCGCGAAGGCUGGGGGAGCAAACAGG
This 253-nucleotide ribosomal RNA is filed under the name uncultured bacterium. RNAcentral describes it as "partial 16S ribosomal RNA". It matches the Rfam family "Bacterial small subunit ribosomal RNA", at positions 524 to 776 of the family's 1533-position model. The record is from RNAcentral.